CCUACGGGGGGCUGCAGGGGGGAAUAUUGGACAAUGGGGGCAACCCUGAUCCAGCCAUGCCGCGUGGGUGAAGAAGGCCCUCGGGUUGUAAAGCACUUUCAGUGAGGAAGAACGCCUGGUGGUUAAUACCCAUCAGGAAAGACAUCACUCACAGAAGAAGCACCGGCUAACUCCGUGCCAGCAGCCGCGGUAAUACGGAGGGUGCGAGCGUUAAUCGGAAUUACUGGGCGUAAAGCGCGCGUAGGUGGCUUGAUAAGCCGGUUGUGAAAGCCCCGGGCUCAACCUGGGAACGGCAUCCGGAACUGUCAAGCUAGAGUGCAGGAGAGGAAGGUAGAAUUCCCGGUGUAGCGGUGAAAUGCGUAGAGAUCGGGAGGAAUACCAGUGGCGAAGGCGGCCUUCUGGACUGACACUGACACUGAGGUGCGAAAGCGUGGGUAGCAAACAGGAUUAGAUACCCCAGUAGUC
Molecule: ribosomal RNA, 465 nt
Filed under: Vreelandella stevensii
Lineage: Bacteria; Pseudomonadati; Pseudomonadota; Gammaproteobacteria; Oceanospirillales; Halomonadaceae
Description: partial 16S ribosomal RNA
Rfam family: Bacterial small subunit ribosomal RNA
Source: RNAcentral